Molecule: ribosomal RNA, 305 nt
Filed under: uncultured bacterium
Lineage: Bacteria
Description: bacterial SSU rRNA
Rfam family: Bacterial small subunit ribosomal RNA
Source: RNAcentral
UGCCCCCUACGGGAGGCAGCAGUGGGGAAUAUUGCACAAUGGGGGAAACCCUGAUGCAGCGACGCCGCGUGAGUGAAGAAGUAAUUCGUUAUGUAAAGCUCUAUCAGCAGGGAAGAAAAUGACGGUACCUGAGUAAGAAGCCCCGGCUAACUACGUGCCAGCAGCCGCGGUAAUACGUAGGGGGCAAGCGUUAUCCGGAUUUACUGGGUGUAAAGGGAGCGUAGACGGCCAGACAAGUCAGAAGUGAAAGCCCAGGGCUCAACUCUGGGACUGCUUUUGAAACUGCCGGGCUGGAGUGCAGGAGG